RNAcentral lists this ribosomal RNA (439 nucleotides) under uncultured bacterium. RNAcentral's name for it is "partial 16S ribosomal RNA". It matches the Rfam family "Bacterial small subunit ribosomal RNA", at positions 339 to 795 of the family's 1533-position model. The record is from RNAcentral.
CUACGGGAGGCUGCAGUGAGGAAUAUUGCACAAUGGGGGGAACCCUGAUGCAGCAACGCCGCGUGGAGGAUGACGCAUUUCGGUGUGUAAACUCCUUUUAUAUGUCAAGAAAAUGACGGUAGCAUAUGAAUAAGCACCGGCUAACUCCGUGCCAGCAGCCGCGGUAAUACGGAGGGUGCAAGCGUUACUCGGAAUAACUGGGCGUAAAGUACGCGUAGGCGGGUUGGAAAGUCAGGUGUGAAAUCCUACAGCUUAACUGUAGAACUGCACUUGAAACUUCUAAUCUAGAGUAUGGGAGGGGGAGAUGGAAUUAGUGGUGUAGGGGUAAAAUCCGUAGAUAUCACUAGGAAUACCUAAAGCGAAGGCGAUCUCCUGGAACAUUACUGACGCUAAGGCGUGAAAGCGUGGGGAGCAAACAGGAUUAGAUACCCUAGUAGUC